AUUGAACGCUGGCGGCAUGCCUAACACAUGCAAGUCGAGCGGAGCACCGGACGGGGGAGUAAUACCUAGGAAUCUGCCUGGUACUGGUGGAUAACGUCCGGUAACGGACACUAAUACCGAAUACUCUCAGCUUAGCCUAGGUCGGGUUGGCUAGUGGGUGGGGUAAGGGCCUACCAAGGCGACGAUCCCUAACUGGUCUGAGAGGAUGAGCAGCCACACUGGAACUGAGACACGGUCCAGACUCCUACGGGAGGCAGCAGUGGGGAAUAUUGGACAAUGGGCGAAAGCCUGAUCCAGCCAUGCCGCGUGUGUGAAGAAGGUCUUCGGAUUGUAAAGCACUUUCAGUUGGGAGGCGUUACCAACAGAAUAAGCACCGGCUAACUUCGUGCCAGCAGCCGUGGUAAUUC
RNAcentral lists this ribosomal RNA (407 nucleotides) under uncultured bacterium. RNAcentral describes it as "partial 16S ribosomal RNA". It matches the Rfam family "Bacterial small subunit ribosomal RNA", at positions 30 to 526 of the family's 1533-position model. The record is from RNAcentral.